GCCGGGCGUGGUGGUGCACGCCUGUAAUCCCAGCUACUCGGGAGGCUGAGGCAGGAGAAUCGCUUGAACCCAGGAGGCAGAGGUUGCAGUGAGCCGAGAUCGUGCCACUGUGCCACUGUACUCCAACCUGGGCAACAGAGUGAGACUCUGUCUCAA
Non-coding RNA from Pan troglodytes (chimpanzee), 156 nucleotides. It matches the Rfam family "Metazoan signal recognition particle RNA". From Rfam's summary of the family: The signal recognition particle (SRP) is a universally conserved ribonucleoprotein. It is involved in the co-translational targeting of proteins to membranes. The record is from Rfam. NCBI's taxonomy places the organism in Eukaryota, Metazoa, Chordata, Mammalia, Primates, Hominidae.